RNAcentral lists this non-coding RNA (204 nucleotides) under Candidatus Stoquefichus. Its description in RNAcentral is "T-box sequence". It matches the Rfam family "T-box leader". From Rfam's summary of the family: Uncharged tRNA acts as the effector for transcription antitermination of genes in the T-box leader family. T-boxes are found upstream of many aminoacyl-tRNA synthetase genes and some amino acid biosynthetic genes usually in Gram-positive bacteria. The record is from RNAcentral. Lineage: Bacteria; Bacillati; Bacillota; Erysipelotrichia; Erysipelotrichales; Erysipelotrichaceae.
AUAAAUACAAUGACGGAGACAGUUUAUAAAGAAAACUUCUAGAGAGCUUGUGGUUGGUGGAAACAAGUAAGUGGAAUUUAUAAUGGAUCACUCCCCAGUAGCAAUCCUGAAAUCAUAGUAGGGUGCGCCGUGAAUCGCGUUAAGAUGUUAAGAGCAUAUCGCAAGAUAUGAAUAAAGGUGGUACCGCGUUAACACGUCCUUUAA